This 1344-nucleotide ribosomal RNA is filed under the name uncultured bacterium. RNAcentral describes it as "bacterial SSU rRNA". It matches the Rfam family "Bacterial small subunit ribosomal RNA". The record is from RNAcentral.
AGAGUUUGAUCAUGGCUCAGAACGUACGCUGGCGGCACGCCUAACACAUGCAAGUCGAACGAAGUAGCAAUACUUAGUGGCAGACGGGUGAGUAACAUGUGGGUAUCUGCCCUUUGGCCUGGAAUAACACGAGGAAACUUGUGCUAAUACUGGAUAAGUCUUUACGGAGAAAGCUUUAUGCACCAUUGGAUGAGCCCGCACUUGAUUAGUUUGUUGGUGGGGUAAUGGCCUACCAAGACUGUGAUCAAUAGCUGAUUUGAGAGGAUGAUCAGCCACAUUGGGACUGAGACACGGCCCAAACUCCUACGGGGGGCAGCAGUGGGGAAUCUUGCACAAUGGAGGAAACUCUGAUGCAGCGAUGCCGCGUGAGUGAAGAAGGCCCUUGGGUUGUAAAGCUCUUUCGUCGGGGAAGAAAAUGACUGUACCCGAAUAAGAAGGUCCGGCUAACUUCGUGCCAGCAGCCGCGGUAAUACGAAGGGACCUAGCGUAGUUCGGAAUUACUGGGCUUAAAGAGUUCGUAGGUGGUUGAAAAAGUUGGUGGUGAAAUCCCAGAGCUUAACUCUGGAACUGCCAUCAAAACUUUUCAGCUAGAGUUUGAUAGAGGAAAGCAGAAUUUCUAGUGUAGAGGUGAAAUUCGUAGAUAUUAGAAAGAAUACCAAUUGCGAAGGCAGCUUUCUGGAUCAUUACUGACACUGAGGAACGAAAGCAUGGGUAGCGAAGAGGAUUAGAUACCCUCGUAGUCCAUGCCGUAAACGAUGUGUGUUAGACGUUGGAAAUUUAUUUUCAGUGUCGCAGCGAAAGCGAUAAACACACCGCCUGGGGAGUACGACCGCAAGGUUAAAACUCAAAUGAAUUGACGGGGACCCGCACAAGUAGUGGAGCAUGUGGUUUAAUUCGAAGAUACGCGCAGAACCUUACCAACACUUGACAUGUUCGUCGCGACUUUAAGAGAUUAAAGUUUUCGGUUCGGCCGGACGAAACACAGGUGCUGCAUGGCUGUCGUCAGCUCGUGUCGUGAGAUGUUGGGUUAAGUCCCGCAACGAGCGCAACCCUCACUUUUAGUUGCCAUCAUUAAGUUGGGCACUCUGAAAGAACUGCCAGUGAUAAGCUGGAGGAAGGUGGGGAUGACGUCAAGUCCUCAUGGCCCUUACGUGUUGGGCUACACACGUGCUACAAUGGUAUCUACAACAGGAAGCGAAACAGCGAUGUUAAGCAAAUCCUUAAAAGAUACCUCAGUUCGGAUUGCACUCUGCAACUCGAGUGCAUGAAGCUGGAAUUACUAGUAAUCGUGGAUCAGCGUGCCACGGUGAAUGCGUUCCGCGGGUCUUGUACACACCGCCCGUA